RNAcentral lists this ribosomal RNA (478 nucleotides) under uncultured bacterium. RNAcentral's name for it is "partial 16S ribosomal RNA". It matches the Rfam family "Bacterial small subunit ribosomal RNA", at positions 28 to 523 of the family's 1533-position model. The record is from RNAcentral.
GACGAACGCUGGCGGCGUGCUUAACACAUGCAAGUCGAACGGUAAGGCCCUUCGGGGUACACGAGUGGCGAACGGGUGAGUAACACGUGGGUGAUCUGCCCUGCACUUCGGGAUAAGCCUGGGAAACUGGGUCUAAUACCGGAUAGGACCCUGGGAUGCAUGUCCUGGGGGGGAAAGCUUUUGCGGUGUGGGAUGGGCCCGCGGCCUAUCAGCUUGGUGGUGGGGUGAUGGCCUACCAAGGCGACGACGGGUAGCCGGCCUGAGAGGGUGACCGGCCACACUGGGACUGAGAUACGGCCCAGACUCCUACGGGGGGCAGCAGUGGGGAAUAUUGCACAAUGGGCGCAAGCCUGAUGCAGCGACGCCGCGUGAGGGAUGACGGCCUUCGGGUUGUAAACCUCUUUCAGCACCGACGAAGCGCAAGUGACGGUAGGUGCAGAAGAAGGACCGGCCAACUACGUGCCAGCAGCCGCGGUAA